Molecule: long non-coding RNA, 508 nt
Organism: Eleginops maclovinus (Patagonian blennie)
Lineage: Eukaryota; Metazoa; Chordata; Actinopteri; Perciformes; Eleginopidae
Exons: 2
Source: RefSeq, a predicted model, not a curated record
UAGUGAACUGCACAGGACUGGGGGAAGAAAAGGUAAAAGCGUCUGUAGCCACAUUACGAUUAGAGCGCUGCAAGUCCGCAGACGGACACCGACCGCAGUGAAAUCAGCCGUCUGCACUGUGAAUCCAGAAAUGGCCUGCAUUAUCCUGAGAUCGCAUUCUGCUUUUGCAUUUUACCAUCAAGACUACUUGCCCUCGUGUUGGAUUGCAGCUGGUCCCUUGCGAUCACCUAUAUCAGGUUAAGGGAGCACCCAGUCAUGAGGCUCUGCACAAGGACAAACCUAUGAGGUGGCACUGUGGCUUUCCAAAUAAAGUUCUGUGAUACACUUAGACUCUAAUUGCCUGCAGUCAGUGCAUUACAGAACUUUGUUUUGGGAGUUAAUACUUUAUCCUGUGGGAAAUAAACCUUCAAACAUCUGGACCAUUGAGUUUACAGCAUGGUGCAACAUUUCUGUUGACAAAUAAUUGUUUUCUUUAAUAAAGUUUAAUUUGGUUUCAUCAAUUUUUUCA